This 539-nucleotide ribosomal RNA is filed under the name Bordetella ansorpii. RNAcentral describes it as "bacterial SSU rRNA". It matches the Rfam family "Bacterial small subunit ribosomal RNA", at positions 93 to 628 of the family's 1533-position model. The record is from RNAcentral. Lineage: Bacteria; Pseudomonadati; Pseudomonadota; Betaproteobacteria; Burkholderiales; Alcaligenaceae.
GAGUGGCGAACGGGUGAGUAAUGUAUCGGAACGUACCCAGUAGCGGGGGAUAACUACGCGAAAGCGUAGCUAAUACCGCAUACGUCCUACGGGAGAAAGCGGGGGACCUUCGGGCCUCGCACUAUUGGAGCGGCCGAUAUCGGAUUAGCUAGUUGGUGGGGUAAAGGCCUACCAAGGCGACGAUCCGUAGCUGGUUUGAGAGGACGACCAGCCACACUGGGACUGAGACACGGCCCAGACUCCUACGGGAGGCAGCAGUGGGGAAUUUUGGACAAUGGGGGCAACCCUGAUCCAGCCAUCCCGCGUGUGCGAUGAAGGCCUUCGGGUUGUAAAGCACUUUUGGCAGGAAAGAAACGGUUCCGGAUAAUACCUGGAGCAACUGACGGUACCUGCAGAAUAAGCACCGGCUAACUACGUGCCAGCAGCCGCGGUAAUACGUAGGGUGCAAGCGUUAAUCGGAAUUACUGGGCGUAAAGCGUGCGCAGGCGGUUCGGAAAGAAAGAUGUGAAAUCCCAGAGCUUAACUUUGGAACUGCAUUU